GGGCGGUUAAAGUGAUAAUCCAAUUAAAGAGAAUGAGAUACUUUAUUGAUGUUCUUGAUGAAAAUUUAUGCUUGGAAUUAUUGUGGACAGUUUUUUUUAGUUGAAGUUAAAGAAGAAGUCAACAGGAAAUAUUAUUGGGUAUCCAACCAAUUCCAAUAAGACGAAUAUUUGGACACGGCACACACAUACAGACGAACGUAUGCAGUGUACGUAUGUAUGAGGUAGCCUUUUCUAAUACGAACACGAAACGAAAAACGAUGAAGUCUAGAAAAUCUAACCAACGACAGCGACUGAGAGACUCUAACUAACUAAAUAAAAAUAACUGAAACUGAACAGUAACGGUAUGCUGGCUGGUGAGUUGUAGUUUUGGAUGUUGGACUAGUAUACAUAGUCUAACAGAAAAAGUUGUUGCCUCGAUCUAUCUGUGAACUGUGAGUGCUGAGACUGGAACUGGAAGUGACUUGAUUGAGUCACGAACGCAGGCACAAUUUGAUGUUGACG
Molecule: long non-coding RNA, 501 nt
Organism: Eupeodes corollae
Lineage: Eukaryota; Metazoa; Arthropoda; Insecta; Diptera; Syrphidae
Exons: 3
Source: RefSeq, a predicted model, not a curated record